Molecule: long non-coding RNA, 554 nt
Organism: Oncorhynchus keta (chum salmon)
Lineage: Eukaryota; Metazoa; Chordata; Actinopteri; Salmoniformes; Salmonidae
Exons: 4
Source: RefSeq, a predicted model, not a curated record
GUAACUUAAAGCAGGUAGAGCCUCAGUGUUCACAGUAAAACUGUAACUUAAAGCAGGUACAGCCUCAGUGUUCACAGUAAAACUGUAACUUAAAGCAGGUAGAGCCUCAGUGUUCACAGUAAAACUGUAACUUAAAGCAGGUAGAGCCUCAGUGUUCACAGUAAAACUGUAACUUAAAGCAGGUACAGCCUCAGUGUUCACAGUAAAACUGUAACUUAAAGCAGGUACAGCCUCAGUGUUCACAGUAAAACUGUAACUUAAAGCAGGUAGAGCCUCAGUGUUCACAGUAAAACUGUAACUUAAAGCAGGUAGAGCCUCAGUGUUCACAGUAAAACUGUAACUUAAAGCAGGUACAGCCUCAGUGUUCACAGUAAAACUGUAACUUAAAGCAGGUAGAGCCUCAGUGUUCACAGUAAAACUGUAACUUAAAGCAGGUACAGCCUCAGUGUUCACAGUAAAACUGUAACUUAAAGCAGGUAGAGCCUCAGUGUUCACAGUAAAACUGUAACUUAAAGCAGGUACAGCCUCAGUGUUCACAGUAAAACUAACUUAAA